GAGGGAGGAGAUGAUGAUUAAUUAAGGAAAAGCAAAUUAGCCUCACUUUGCAUGUAGCAACUGUGGGUGAUUUUCAUGAUAAAGAGGCUGUUUAGGGGCUGUUUUGUUUGGCCUUCGGCUCUGAAAUAACAAGGUUUGUGUGUGUGUCUGUAAUGACCUGCCAGGUACCAGCUCAGAGAAAGAGCUUUUUUUGAGAAUGCAUACCAGGCACUCCUUUGCGGAACAGCAAAUGUGUGUGUUCAGCCUAAUUAGAAAAGAAAAUGAUGAAGAUGAAAAGACAUAUGGCUGUCUCCUCUGGACUUUGCUCUCUCUCCAGCAGCAGUAGCGUCUCCAUUGGCUCCAGAGGCCUGUUAAGGAGGAGGAAUGGACAGGAGCACCAGCAGUAGCUGCGUUAGCUGGCGAGGGGGUGAGCAGAGCUCUCAGCAGCCUGGCAAGAGAAUUCGUCAUCCACCUGGUUUCUUUCUUCAAAUGAACAAAUGGGAAAAAUAAACAAGUCCAUUCUCGGUCCAUUAUUUUCCCUUCAUUGUCAAAGCAGAUGCUUGCACAGUUAAAGAAAGAAGGAAAGGUCUGUGCUUCCUAUAAAGGGCAUGUUUUCACUUUAGCUGACACUUUUAAAAAUGAUAAAGAAAAUGAUGUUCUGUUUUUUUUCUUCCUGAGUAUCUGUUUAUCCUCGUUGCCGUGUCUCUGCUCUGAACUAUUGUAAUAUGGUAGGAGGAGUUUUUUCCUCUCGUCGUGGGGUUGCUGUUGCA
Long non-coding RNA from Columba livia (rock pigeon), 749 nucleotides. RefSeq lists it as uncharacterized. The transcript has 3 exons. The record is from RefSeq and is a predicted model, not a curated record. Lineage: Eukaryota; Metazoa; Chordata; Aves; Columbiformes; Columbidae.